AGCGAACGCUGGCGGCGUGCUUAACACAUGCAAGUCGAACGGAUCCGGGGGGCAACCCUCGGAUUAGUGGCGAACGGGUGAGUAACACGUGGGUAAUCUCCCCUCGAGUGAGGAAUAAGCUUGCGAAAGCGGGUCUAAUACCGCAUAACGUCCCGAGGCUUAUGCUUUGGGACCAAAGCCGUAAGGCGCUUGGGGAUGAGCCUGCGUCCUAUUAGCUAGUUGGCAGGGUAACGGCCUACCAAGGCUACGAUGUUUAGGGGUCCUGAGAGGGUGAUCCCCCACACUGGUACUGAGACACGGACCAGACUCCUACGGGUGGCAG
This 322-nucleotide ribosomal RNA is filed under the name uncultured Nitrospirota bacterium. Its description in RNAcentral is "bacterial SSU rRNA". It matches the Rfam family "Bacterial small subunit ribosomal RNA", at positions 29 to 351 of the family's 1533-position model. Lineage: Bacteria; Pseudomonadati; Nitrospirota. The record is from RNAcentral.